This 536-nucleotide ribosomal RNA is filed under the name Bifidobacterium breve. RNAcentral's name for it is "bacterial SSU rRNA". It matches the Rfam family "Bacterial small subunit ribosomal RNA", at positions 158 to 704 of the family's 1533-position model. The record is from RNAcentral. Lineage: Bacteria; Bacillati; Actinomycetota; Actinomycetes; Bifidobacteriales; Bifidobacteriaceae.
GGGUGGUAAUGCCGGAUGCUCCAGCACACUGCAUGGUGUGUUGGGAAAGCCUUUGCGGCAUGGGAUGGGGUCGCGUCCUAUCAGCUUGAUGGCGGGGUAACGGCCCACCAUGGCUUCGACGGGUAGCCGGCCUGAGAGGGCGACCGGCCACAUUGGGACUGAGAUACGGCCCAGACUCCUACGGGAGGCAGCAGUGGGGAAUAUUGCACAAUGGGCGCAAGCCUGAUGCAGCGACGCCGCGUGAGGGAUGGAGGCCUUCGGGUUGUAAACCUCUUUUGUUAGGGAGCAAGGCAUUUUGUGUUGAGUGUACCUUUCGAAUAAGCACCGGCUAACUACGUGCCAGCAGCCGCGGUAAUACGUAGGGUGCAAGCGUUAUCCGGAAUUAUUGGGCGUAAAGGGCUCGUAGGCGGUUCGUCGCGUCCGGUGUGAAAGUCCAUCGCUUAACGGUGGAUCCGCGCCGGGUACGGGCGGGCUUGAGUGCGGUAGGGGAGACUGGAAUUCCCGGUGUAACGGUGGAAUGUGUAGAUAUCGGGAAA